Molecule: ribosomal RNA, 785 nt
Filed under: uncultured marine bacterium
Lineage: Bacteria
Description: bacterial SSU rRNA
Rfam family: Bacterial small subunit ribosomal RNA
Source: RNAcentral
UGAUCCUGGCUCAGAUUGAACGCUGGCGGUAGGCUUAACACAUGCAAGUCGUGCGAGAAAGUAUCUUCGGAUAUGAGUAGAGCGGCGGACGGGUGAGUAACGCGUAGGAAUCUACCUAGUAGAAGGGGAUAGCCCGGGGAAACUCGGAUUAAUACCGUAUACCUCCUUCGGGAGAAAGAAGGCCUCUCAUUGAAGCUUUCGCUACUAGAUGAGCCUGCGUAAGAUUAGCUUGUUGGUGAGGUAAAGGCUCACCAAGGCAACGAUCUUUAGCGGGUCUGAGAGGACGAUCCGCCACAUUGGGACUGAGACACGGCCCAGACUCCUACGGGAGGCAGCAGUGGGGAAUAUUGGACAAUGGGCGCAAGCCUGAUCCAGCCAUACCGCGUGUGUGAAGAAGGCCCUAGGGUUGUAAAGCACUUUAAGUUGGGAAGAAAAGUUAUUGGUUAAUACCUAAUAACCGUGACAUUACCAUCAGAAUAAGGACCGGCUAAUUCCGUGCCAGCAGCCGCGGUAAUACGGAAGGUCCAAGCGUUAAUCGGAAUUACUGGGCGUAAAGCGCGCGUAGGUGGUUUAUUAAGUUGGAUGUGAAAUCCCCGGGCUCAACCUGGGAACUGCAUCCAAAACUGAUUCACUAGAGUACGAUAGAGGGAGGUAGAAUUCACAGUGUAGCGGUGGAAUGCGUAGAUAUUGUGAAGAAUACCAAUGGCGAAGGCAGCCUCCUGGAUCUGUACUGACACUGAGGUGCGAAAGCGUGGGUAGCGAACAGGAUUAGAUACCCUGGUAGU